Molecule: long non-coding RNA, 1092 nt
Organism: Heterocephalus glaber (naked mole-rat)
Lineage: Eukaryota; Metazoa; Chordata; Mammalia; Rodentia; Bathyergidae
Source: RefSeq, a predicted model, not a curated record
CCCCAGCUCUAACAGGAAGUCAGCUGCAGCGCCUGGUGAUCCUCCCAAAAGCUGCAUCUAUGAGUGUCCCAGGCUUUGGGGGUACCCUGGAUCCAGACCAGGACAGUGAGUCCUAUAAAUGAAGCUGUGACCAGGGUCCAGUGACAUCGUGCAGAGGAAAGCCACGGUGGGGACUGGAAGGCUCUCCUGGGCCCGUGACAUGAUGUUGCAUCUCUAUUCUGCGUUCUUUUACUUCCGGGUGUGAUGUGAAUCUUGAGACCCUCUGCUGGGCACAGGGAUGCAGAGUACCAGCAAGGCCAGAGUGAAACAAGCUAACUGCACAGAACCUCACAGGAACUGAGAGGAGCCCUGGAGCCCGAGUCCCUAGUCUGCUGAUGAGCACACCAGGCCCACGCCAAGGUGAAGGCACCCCAAGUCCCCGCUGGGAAGUGCAGCGCCAGGGCUCAACCCCCUCCUGCACCCGGACCAGUGCCCAGAAACCCAGGAGGAGCUCAGGCACCGAGUUCCUUUCUCCUCUGCGCCUCAGAUCUACACUGGGCCCUCCCUCCAGGACCCCCUCACAAUGCUGUUUGCGAUUCUUUUCUGCUUCGCUCCUCACCCCAGCUCCCCCUUAGCGAACAGCCAGUCCCACCACCCCUCACUCCCUGGGGAGUCACAAGGAAGAAGGUCCUAGUCUUCGCUGGGGCCAAAUCUUUCCUUUCCUUUCUGAUCUGUAGCUAACUCUUUUAUUUACAUCAUAGAAGAUUGGAAAACACAUUGAACACAAGUUUUUAUGAUGCCACCAUCAAGUAAUAACCUUUCUUCUUUUUUUUUUGGUACUGGGGAUCAAACUCAGGACUUUGUGCUUUUGAGGCAGGCGCAGCACCAGUAAGCUAAAUCCCCAGCCUGAGUAAUAACUAUUUUUAAUGCAUUAACACAGUAUUUCCACAUAAGUAUCUCUUUCCCUCAUUUCAUAUUGUGCAUAGGUAUAUAUUGUAUUUUUCAGUUUUAAUGCAGUAUAAUUAAGAUCAAAUCAUAUAUAUGUAAGGCAUGCAAUGUGAUGUGUUGAUAUAUAUGUAUAAUGAAAUGAUCGCCACAAUAAAUCGAGUGAAC